AACGAACGCUGGCGGCAGGCUUAACACAUGCAAGUCGAACGCCCCGCAAGGGGAGUGGCAGACGGGUGAGUAACGCGUGGGAACGUGCCCUUCGCUUCGGAAUAGUCCCGGGAAACUGGGUUUAAUACCGAAUACGCCGUAUUGGGAAAGAUUUAUCGGCGAAGGAUCGGCCCGCGUUAGAUUAGGUAGUUGGCGGUGUAAUGGACCACCAAGCCUACGAUCUAUAGCUGGUCUGAGAGGAUGAUCAGCCACACUGGGACUGAGACACGG
RNAcentral lists this ribosomal RNA (270 nucleotides) under uncultured bacterium. RNAcentral describes it as "partial 16S ribosomal RNA". It matches the Rfam family "Bacterial small subunit ribosomal RNA", at positions 29 to 329 of the family's 1533-position model. The record is from RNAcentral.